Molecule: small RNA, 135 nt
Filed under: Chrysemys picta bellii (western painted turtle)
Lineage: Eukaryota; Metazoa; Chordata; Testudines; Emydidae
Description: TUC338 (ENSCPBG00000026611.1)
Source: RNAcentral
UUGACAGUCCUGGAAACUGAUGCCCUAAUUAUCCUCAGAACAGGUGCACAUGGGCAUUAUCCUGCCAAUGUGACUCAGACUAGAGAUGAAGAGCCUAAUUCUCAGUUUAGAUGGUAGUUCAGUAUAAAACCUUCU